GACGAACGCUGGCGGCGUGCUUAACACAUGCAAGUCGAACGGAAAGGCCCUGCUUUUGUGGGGUGCUCGAGCGGCGAACGGGUGAGUAACACGUGAGUAACCUGCCCUUGACUUUGGGAUAACUUCAGGAAACUGGGGCUAAUACCGGAUAGGAGCUCCUGCUGCAUGGUGGGGGUUGGAAAGUUUCGGCGGUUGGGGAUGGACUCGCGGCUUAUCAGCUUGUUGGUGGGGUAGUGGCUUACCAAGGCUUUGACGGGUAGCCGGCCUGAGAGGGUGACCGGCCACAUUGGGACUGAGAUACGGCCCAGACGCCUACGGGAGGCAGCAGUGGGGAAUAUUGCACAAUGGGCGGAAGCCUGAUGCAGCAACGCCGCGUGCGGGAUGACGGCCUUCGGGUUGUAAACCGCUUUCGCCUGUGACGAAGCGUGAGUGACGGUAAUGGGUAAAGAAGCACCGGCUAACUACGUG
This 468-nucleotide ribosomal RNA is filed under the name uncultured bacterium. Its description in RNAcentral is "partial 16S ribosomal RNA". It matches the Rfam family "Bacterial small subunit ribosomal RNA", at positions 28 to 507 of the family's 1533-position model. The record is from RNAcentral.